GACGAACGCUGGCGGCGUGCUUAACACAUGCAAGUCGAACGGAAAGGCCCUGCUUGCAGGGUACUCGAGUGGCGAACGGGUGAGUAACGCGUGGGUGUUCUGCCCUGCACUUCGGGAUAAGCCUGGGAAACUGGGUCUAAUACCGGAUAGGAGCCAGUUUUAGUGUGGUGGUUGGAAAGUUUUUUCGGUGUAGGAUGAGCUCGCGGCCUAUCAGCUUGUUGGUGGGGUAAUGGCCUACCAAGGCGGCGACGGGUAGCCGGCCUGAGAGGGUGGACGGCCACAUUGAGACUGAGAGAAGGCCCAGACGCCGACGGGUGGAAGCAGUGGGGAAUAUUGAACAAUGGGCGCAAGCCUGAUGCAGCGACGCCGCGUGGGGGAUGGCGGCCUUCGGGUUGUAAACGCCUAUCGCUAGGGACGAAGCUUUUUGUGACGGUACCAAGAGAAGAAGCACCGGCUAACUACGUG
RNAcentral lists this ribosomal RNA (465 nucleotides) under uncultured bacterium. Its description in RNAcentral is "partial 16S ribosomal RNA". It matches the Rfam family "Bacterial small subunit ribosomal RNA", at positions 28 to 507 of the family's 1533-position model. The record is from RNAcentral.